GUGAAAACUAAAAUUUAAAUAAAUUGGAAAAGAUACAAACUCACAAUCCAAAAAAUACAACACGCAUUAUCCAUUUAUAAAAACAACAAAUACGAUAUUGUUUGACAAUUGAAGAGGUUAGUAUGAGGUUUCUUAGAGUUCUAAAUUAAAAGAUUCUUAUAACAUUUGAAAGACUAGGAAUGAUCAACCAAUAUUCAUAAGUAAGGUCUUCAUGGCUUUCAUCAACCUAGUGGUUAUUUGUUACCUACAAAACCAUGAAAAAGAAUAUUCUUUGUCAGAUUAUAUUACGUAGCAGUAAAUGAUAAACAAACUCCCAUAGUUUCAUAUCCAACUUCGCCUAUUCAUAUCCAUCAAUUAGUUUCAGUAAGUAAUUUCUAGUGAUUAAACUUAGCACAUUCUUAUCACAAUUUAGAAUAAAAAAAACAAUGUUAACAAGAUAAUGCAGUAGCUUUGCAAGGAGUUGAAUUUAAUUCCGGUUAAAAUUCUUUGAUUCAACCUGCCAGACAACAUAAAGUCAAAGUAGAGAAGUAAAAUAGGCAAAAAAUGGAUAACGUAACAAAACAAUUAUUCACUAUAAAUUGUAAAGUUCUGUAAAUUUUUAAUAGCAUAUGCAUCGAUACUGAAAUUCGGAUUACUGAUCUUCAGAAAAGAGCUACCAAGUCACAAAGUAGUACCAAACCUUUUUAGGAAGUUAAAAAUCCCCGACCAUAAUGUCCACAAAAUGCUCCUUUCAGUAUUAUUUUCUAUUAGGCUCCACAUAACUGUAACUAGGAUUUAGGAACAAGAAAAUCUCUUUUGAACUAAAAUUGACAGAUCAUUCCUGACAAAUCAAUUACAAAUCAGAAAAUAAAUAUGAUAUGAGAAGAUAUCUAAGCUCAAUCAAACAUAUGGAUGAAGUGAAAAGGUAAAUCACACCAUUUCUAGGCCACUACAAUAGCUACUAACAUUCUAGUAGACAUGUGAAUAUCUUGUAAGUUGUCUAAUCUUCAAAAGUUGAAGAGCACAAAGUAUAUAUUAGCACUUUUGCAUCUCUUAUGACAUAAGAAUCCUGUAACCGCAGAUUCACCAUAAAUUUGCAAUUGUAAGCACUUACUUGAAGGAAAAUGCAUACUAUGUUGGAAGAGGAUUGCAAUUAAUAUUUGGAGAGAGGCUUUUAGGCUAAGGGAAUUUUGGAAGAGUAGAAAGAUUUUGGAGNNNN
This 1198-nucleotide long non-coding RNA is filed under the name Nicotiana benthamiana. RNAcentral's name for it is "long non-coding RNA (NBEN_LNC038205)". The record is from RNAcentral. Lineage: Eukaryota; Viridiplantae; Streptophyta; Magnoliopsida; Solanales; Solanaceae.